This 497-nucleotide ribosomal RNA is filed under the name uncultured bacterium. Its description in RNAcentral is "partial 16S ribosomal RNA". It matches the Rfam family "Bacterial small subunit ribosomal RNA", at positions 28 to 507 of the family's 1533-position model. The record is from RNAcentral.
GAUGAACGCUGGCGGCGUGCCUAAUACAUGCAAGUCGAGCGAACAGACGAGGAGCUUGCUCCUUUGACGUUAGCGGCGGACGGGUGAGUAACACGUAGGUAACCUACCUAUAAGACUGGGAUAACUUCGGGAAACCGGAGCUAAUACCGGAUAAUAUUUCGAACCGCAUGGUUCGAUAGUGAAAGAUGGCUUUGCUAUCACUUAUAGAUGGACCUGCGCCGUAUUAGCUAGUUGGUAAGGUAACGGCUUACCAAGGCAACGAUACGUAGCCGACCUGAGAGGGUGAUCGGCCACACUGGAACUGAGACACGGUCCAGACUCCUACGGGAGGCAGCAGUAGGGAAUCUUCCGCAAUGGGCGAAAGCCUGACGGAGCAACGCCGCGUGAGUGAUGAAGGUCUUCGGAUCGUAAAACUCUGUUAUUAGGGAAGAACAAGCGUGUAAGUAACUGUGCACGUCUUGACGGUACCUAAUCAGAAAGCCACGGCUAACUACGUG